CAGCAGUAGCCACGGGAAUACGAAGGGUGCAAGCGUUAAUCGGAAUUACUGGGCGUAAAGCGUGCGUAGGCGGUGAGUUAAGUCUGCUGUGAAAUCCCCGGGCUCAACCUGGGAAUGGCAGUGGAUACUGGCUCGCUAGAGUGUGUCAGAGGAUGGUGGAAUUCCCGGUGUAGCGGUGAAAUGCGUAGAGAUCGGGAGGAACAUCAGUGGCGAAGGCGGCAACCUGGCUCAUUACUGACGCUGAGGCGCGAAAGCGUGGGGAGCAAACAGGAUUAGAUACCCCGGUAGUCCCUGUCUCUUAUAA
RNAcentral lists this ribosomal RNA (304 nucleotides) under uncultured bacterium. Its description in RNAcentral is "partial 16S ribosomal RNA". It matches the Rfam family "Bacterial small subunit ribosomal RNA", at positions 506 to 809 of the family's 1533-position model. The record is from RNAcentral.